Molecule: long non-coding RNA, 967 nt
Filed under: Capra hircus (goat)
Lineage: Eukaryota; Metazoa; Chordata; Mammalia; Artiodactyla; Bovidae
Description: lncRNA (ENSCHIG00010028387.1)
Source: RNAcentral
GGACCUGGCAUCAGAGAGUCGGGGAGGAGCACAACUUUGGAAUAGGGCAGACGUUGAUCAGAGCCAGUCUGCCGUUCACUAGCUCCAUGACGAUAGGAUCUGUUGGCAAAGAGCCAUGCUUGUGGUCCACGUCCUCCGUGCCGUGUACCAUAGAAUCAUCACCAUUGUCACAGAGAACGCAAAUGUCAUGGCAAGACUGGCUCGGAAGACUUGUUUCUAGCCCAGGAUCAGCCCCUGAAUGUUGGGUGAGUCAUUUCCCUUCCUCUGGGCACCAGUUUCCCCAUUUGCGCCAUCUACUUCAUGAACCCUUCAGACUUUAUAAGUCAUCACGACCAACCUGGAAAUUGAGCACACGCUUUACAAACCACAAAGCAGAGAUCAGAAGUACAGACACUGUUUUGAGUCAGGAAACUGGCAAAUGUUCAUACGUUCAUUUUCCAGAAGGGAAACUGAGGCAAAGUCCAAAGCAGCCUAAAGAUUCAUGGUUUCUGGUUGGAACCAUCCCUUAGUCUGUCUCCAAAGCCACACAUUUAAGGCAGUAAGACCCUGGGGAGAUAGAGCACAGAGUGCAUCCUAAGGAGAUGGGGGAAAAGAUAGAGAAAGCGAAAAGGAUGGAUGAGGAAAUGGGACUGGAGUUGAAGGAGGUGGAAGGGGAGAGAGUGUCUUGUUCUGUGGUGUCCACCUCAGAGGGGUUGGUGUGCCCUCCACAGAGGUCAGCCCCAUAACCUGUCUGGUGUUACGUGAGUCUCUCCAGUUUCUGUUCUAAAGAAGUGAAAUGAUACAAGGGCCCACAGGGCCCUGGCUGGAAGAUCUCUCAGACACAGACAGGAGGCCAGAGUGAUCACUGCUACUUUGAAGGGUACAGGAAAUGGCAGCAGGCUGGAACAUGGCCCUGGAAUAAAGGGAAACUGUCCCCUGGGGUGUUUGUGUGUGUAUGUGUGUGUGUGUGUGUGUGUGUGUGUAUGAG